CGUGUAGGCGGUUUAUUAAGUCAGAUGUGAAAGCCCACGGCUUAACCGUGGAACUGCAUUUGAAACUGAUAGACUUGAGUAUGAGAAGGGGUAGUGGAAUUCCCAGUGUAGCGGUGAAAUGCGUAGAUAUUGGGAAGAACACCAGUAGCGAAGGCGACUACCUGGCUCAUUACUGACGCUAAUGCGCGAAAGCGCGGGGAGCAAACA
This 207-nucleotide ribosomal RNA is filed under the name uncultured bacterium. RNAcentral describes it as "partial 16S ribosomal RNA". It matches the Rfam family "Bacterial small subunit ribosomal RNA", at positions 568 to 774 of the family's 1533-position model. The record is from RNAcentral.